Molecule: ribosomal RNA, 408 nt
Filed under: uncultured bacterium
Lineage: Bacteria
Description: partial 16S ribosomal RNA
Rfam family: Bacterial small subunit ribosomal RNA
Source: RNAcentral
GACGAACGCUGGCGGCGGGCUUAACACAUGCAAGUCGAACGGAGUGGCGAACGGGCGAGUAACACGUGGGUGACCUGCCCUGCACUUCGGGAUAAGCCUGGGAAACUGGGUUUAAUACUGGAUAGUGUGGGAUGGGCCCGCGGCCUAUCAGCUUGUCGGUGGGGUAAUGGCCUACCAAGGCGGCGACGGGUAGCCGGCCUGAGAGGGUGGACGGCCACAUUGGGCCUACGGCACGGACCAGUGUCCUACGGGGGGCAGCGGGGGGGAAUAUUGCGCAGUGGGCGGGAGCGUGAUACAGAGACGCCGCGUGGGGAAUGACGGCCUUCGGGUUGUAAACUCCUUUCACCAUCGACGCGGUAGAUGGAGAAGAAGCACCGGCUAACUACGUGCCAGCCGCCGCGGUAAUAC